RNAcentral lists this long non-coding RNA (4586 nucleotides) under Marmota monax (woodchuck). The record is from RNAcentral. Lineage: Eukaryota; Metazoa; Chordata; Mammalia; Rodentia; Sciuridae.
AGACAUUAUUACUUUAUGUAUAUAUGUUACUGCAUUACCACUAUGAUUCUACAACAUGUACACUUAAAAAAUGAGAAAUUAUAUCCCAUCUAUAUGUAUGAUACAUCAAAGUGCAUAAAUGCAUCCUAUUGUCAUGUGUAACUAAUUAAAACAAAUUAAAAAUUAAAAAACAAAAAAAAUUAUAUAUAUGUGUCUUCAGUCACAUUAGAAGAGGAGUUAAAAACAGAAACUACAAUAAUACUGGAUUUUACUUCAGGUUUGAAGAUGAAAUAAAAAACUUCCACAAUAAACAAAAGUUAAAAGAAUUUGCAGCUAGAAAACUGGUGCUUCAAAACAUCCUUAGAAAAACAUAACAUGAAGAGGAAAUGAAAAAUAACUAUGAAAAUCAACAGUAGGAGGUAGUACAGUAAAGGAAAAUCUAAUCAAAGAGGGAAAACAAAUCUAGUUAAAUAACAAAAAUAAACAAAUAUGGCUGGAAAUACAAACCAAUACCCUAAAUGUUAGUGGAUUAAACUCACCAUUCAAAAGACAUAGACAAGUAGACUGGAUUAAAAAAAAAGAUCCAACAAUAUGCUGCCUACAGUAGACUCAUCUGAUAGGAAAAGACAUAUCCAGACUAAAGGUGAAAGGUUGGGAAAAAUCAUACCACUCACAUGGACCUCAGAAACAAGAAGGGGUGUCCAUACGCAUAUCAAAUAAAAUAGACUUCAAGCCAAAGUUAAUCAAAAGGGAUAAAGAAGGACACUACAUACUUCUCAAGGGAACCAUUCACCAACAAGACAUAAUCAUUAAUAUAUAUGCCCCAAACAAAGGUACAGCUAUAUUCAUCAAACAAACUCUUCUCAAGUUCAAGAGUCAAAUGGACCACAACACAAUAAUCAUGGGUUAUUUUAAUACAUCUCUCUCACCACUGGACAGAUCUUCCAAACAAAAGUUGAAUAAAGAAACUAUAGAACUCAAUAACACAAUUAAUAACUUAGACUUAAUUGAAAUUUAUAGAAAAUAUCAACCAACAUCAAGCGGAUACUCUUUUUUCUCAACAGCACAUGGAUCCUUCUCAAAAAUAGACCAUAUAUUAUGCCACAGGGCAAAUCUGAGCAAAUACAAAGGAUAGAGAUACUACCAUGCAUUUUAUCUGAUCAUAAUGGAAUGAAAUUGGAAAUCAACGAUAAAAUAAGAAAGAAAAAUUCCUACAUCACAUGGAGAAUGAACAAUAUGCUACUGAAUGAAUAAUGGGUUACAGAAGACAUCAAGGUGGAAAUUAAAAAAAUUCUUAGAGGUAAAUGAAAACACAGACACAACAUAUCAAAAUCUCUGGGACACUAUGAAAACAGUACUAAGAGGAAAAUUCAUUGCUUGGAGUUCAUUCCUUAAAAGAAGAAAAAGCCAACAAAUAAACAACCUCACACUACAUCUCAAAGUCCUAGAAAAAGAAGAACAAAUCAACAACAAAUGCAGUAGAAGGCAAGAAAUAAUUAAAAUCAGAGCUGAAAUCAAUGAAAUCGAAACAAAAGAAACAAUUGAAAAAAUUGACAAAACUAAAUUGGUUCUUUGAAAAAAUAAAAAAGAUUGAUAGACCCUUAACCAUGCUAAUGAAAAGAAGAAGAGAGAGAACCCAAAUUACUAGCAUGCAGGAAGAAAAAGGCAAUAUCACAACAGACACUACAGAAAUACAGAAGAUAAUUAGAAAUUAUUUUGAAACCUUAUACUCUAAUAAAAUAGAAGAUAGUGAAGGCAUCAAUAAAUUCCUUAAGUCAUAUGAUCUGUUCAGGUGGAGUGAGGAAGAUAUAUACUACUUAAACAGACCAAUAUCAAGUGAAGAAAUAGAAGAAACCAUCAAAAUAUUACCAACCAAGAAAAGCCCAGGACCCGACAGAUAUAUAGCUGAGUUCUACAAGACCUUUAAAGAAGAACUAAUACCAAUACUCUGCAAUCUAUUUCAGGAAAUAGAAAAAGAGGGAGUACUUCCAAAUUCAUUCUACAAAGCCAAUAUCAUCCUUAUGUAAUUAAUUAUGACAAUUUUUUCAAUUGUUUCUUUUGUUUCAAUUUCAUUGAUUUCAACUCUGAUUUUAAUUAUUUCUUGCCUUCUACUGCUUUUGCUGUUGACACCUCAAAGAAAGAAAACUUCAGACCAAUAUCUCUAAUGAAUAUAGAUGCAAAAUCCUCAAUAAGAUUCUGGUAAAUUGGAUACAAAAAUAUCAUGCACCAUGAUCAAGUGGGAUUCAUCCCUGGGAUUCAAGGUUGGUUCAACAUAUGGAAAUCAAUAAAUGUAUUUCAUCAUAUCAAUAGACUUAAAGAUAAGAACCAUAUGAUCAUCUCGAUAGACACAGAAAAAGCAUUUGACAAAAUACAGCACUCCUUUAUGUUCAAAACUCUAGAAAAACUAGGGAUAACAGGAACUUACCUCAACAUUGUAAAAGCUAUCUACACUAAGCCUCAGGCCAGCAUCAUUCUAAAUGGAGAAAAACAGAAGGCACUCCCUCUAAAAUCUGGAUCAAGACAGGGAUGCCCUCUCUCAUCACUUAUUCAAUAUAGUUCUUGAAGCACUGGCCAGAGCAAUUAGACAGAUGAAAGAAAUUAAAGGAAUAACUAUAGGAAAAGAAGAACUUAAACUAGCACUAUUUGCUGAUGAUAUGAUUCUAUACCUAGAAGACCCAAAAAUCUCUACCAAGAAACUUUUAGAACUAAUAAAUGAAUUCAGCAAAGUGGCAGGAUAUAAAAUCAACACCCAUAAAUCAAAGGUAUUCCUGUAUAUCAGUGACAAAUCCUCUGAAAAGGAAAUGAGGAAAACUACCCCAUUCACAAUAUCCUCAAAAAAAAAAAAAAUAAGAUACUUGGGAAUCAACAAAAGAGGUGAAACAUCUAUACAAUGAAAACUAUAGAACCCUAAAGAGAGAAAUAGAAGAAGACCUUAGAAUAUGGAAAGAUCUACCUUGCUCAUGGGUAGGCAGAAUUAAUAUUAAUAAAAUGACCAUAUUACCAAAAGCCCUAUACAGGUUCAAUGCAAUUCUGAUCAAAAUCCCAAUAGCAUUCUUCACAGAAAUAGAAAAAGCAAUUAUGGAAUUCAUUUGGAAAAAUAAGAGACCCAGGCUAGCUAAAGCAAUUCUAAUCAGGAAGAGUGAAAAGUGGUAUUGCUAUACCAGACCUUAAACUAUACUACAGAGUAAUAGUAAGAAAAACAGCAUGGUACUGGCACCAAAACAGGCUGGUAGACCAAUGGUACAGAAUAGAGGACACAGAAACUAACUCACAAAAUUACAACUACCUUAUAUUAGACAAAGGUGUCUAAAGCAUGCUCUGGAGAAAGGAUAGCAUCUUCAACAAAUGGUGCUGGGAGAACUGGAAAUCCAUAUGCAACAAAAUGAAAUUGAAUCCCUAUCUCUCACCAUGCACAAAAGUUAACUCAAUAUGGAUCAAGGAUCUAGGGAUUAAACCAGAGACUCUGUGUCUAAUAGAAGAAAAAGUAGGCCCUAAUCUCCAUCACGUGGGGCUAGGCCCCAACUUCCUUAAUAAGACACCUAUAGCACAAGAAUUAAAACCAAGAAUCAACAAAUGGGAUGGAUUCAAACUCAAAAGUUUUUUCUCAGCAAAAGAAAUAAUAUGUGAGGUGUAUAGGGAGCCUACAUCCUGGGAACAAAUUUUUACCCCUCACACAUCAGAUAGAGCUCUAAUCUCUAGGGUAUAUAAAGAGCUGAACAAGAUAAGCACCAAAAAACAAAUAAUCUAAUCAAUAAAUGGGCCAAGGACCUGAACAGACAUUCUCAGAAGAGGAUAUACAGUCAAUUAACAAGUAUGCAAAAAAAAUGCUCAUCAUCUCUAGCAAUCAGAGAAAUGCAAAUUAAAACUACUCUAAGAUACCAUCUUACUCCAGUCAGAAUGGUAGCCAUUAUGAAGACAAACAACAACAAAUGCUGGUGAGGUUGAGGGGAAAAAGGUACAUUCAUACGUUGCUGGUGGGACUGCAAAUUGGUGCAGCCAAUUUGGAAAGCAGUAUGGAGAUUCCUUAGAAAGCUGGGAAUGGAACUACCAUUUGACCCAGUUAUUCCUUUUCUCAGUCUAUACCCAAAGAACCUAAAAACAGUAUACUACAGGGACACAGCCACAUCAAUGUUUAUAGCAGCACAAUUCACAAUAGCUAAAAUGUGGAGCCAACCUAGAUACCCUUCAAUGGAUGAAUGAAUAAAAAAUGUUACAUUUAUACACAAUGGAAUAUUACUCAGCACUAAAAAAAUAAGAUCAUGGCAUUUGCAGGGAAAUGGAUGGCAUUAGAGCAGAUUAUGCUAAGUGAAGUUAGCCAAUCCCCAAAAAUCAAAUGCUGAAUGUCUUCUCUGAUAUAAGGGGGGUGACUCAAAAUUGGAUAGGGAGGAAGAGCAUGGGAAGAAGAUUACCUCUAGAUAGGGAAGAGAGGUGGGAGGGAAAGGGAGGGAGAAGGGGAAUUGCAUGGAUGGUGGAAGGAGAUCCUCAUCGUUGUACAAUGAAAUGUGAAUUUGGUGUCAACAUAUCUUGUAUACAGAGAUAUGAUAAAUUGUGGUAUAAAGGUGUCUUAAGAAUUGUAAUGCAAAAAACAACAACAAUAAUAAUAAGAG